Molecule: ribosomal RNA, 398 nt
Filed under: Lomentospora prolificans
Lineage: Eukaryota; Fungi; Ascomycota; Sordariomycetes; Microascales; Microascaceae
Description: Scedosporium prolificans Eukaryotic large subunit ribosomal RNA
Rfam family: Eukaryotic large subunit ribosomal RNA
Source: Rfam by way of RNAcentral
CGGGCUUGGCAGAAUCAGCGGGGAAAGAAGACCCUGUUGAGCUUGACUCUAGUUUGACAUUGUGAAAAGACAUGGGAGGUGUAGAAUGGUGUGAGCAUAGUCGGCGGUGAAAGUCAACUUCUCCAAUUGUUUUUUUCUUAUUCAGUGAAGCCGGGCUGGACGUGCGUCCAACUUCAGGUGUUAAGGUCCUUCGCGGGCCGACCCGGGUUGAAGACAUUGUCAGGUGGGGAGUUUGGCUGGGGCAGCACAUCUGUUAAACCAUACCGCAGAUGUCCUAAGCUCAUGGAGAACAGAAAUAUCCAGUAGAACAAAAGGGUAAAAGCCCCCUGGAUUUGAUUUUUCAGUGUGAAUACAAACCAUGAAAGUGAUGCCUAUCGAUACUUUAGUGCCGCGGGGUU